RNAcentral lists this transfer RNA (68 nucleotides) under human gut metagenome. It matches the Rfam family "tRNA". Rfam says of the family: Transfer RNA (tRNA) molecules are approximately 80 nucleotides in length. Their secondary structure includes four short double-helical elements and three loops (D, anti-codon, and T loops). The record is from RNAcentral.
GGAUGUAGUUCAGUUGGUUAGAGCGCCAGAUUGUGGCUCUGGAGGUCGUGGGUUCGAAUCCCACCAUC